RNAcentral lists this transfer RNA (74 nucleotides) under Neurospora crassa. RNAcentral describes it as "tRNA-Met (CAT) (tRNA-Met-CAT-1 1 to 7)". It matches the Rfam family "tRNA". From Rfam's summary of the family: Transfer RNA (tRNA) molecules are approximately 80 nucleotides in length. Lineage: Eukaryota; Fungi; Ascomycota; Sordariomycetes; Sordariales; Sordariaceae. RNAcentral also lists the same sequence under 5 other names. The record is from RNAcentral.
GGGACCUUGGCGCAGUUGGCUAGCGCGCAGGUCUCAUAAUCCUGAGGUCGGGAGUUCGAGCCUCCCAGGUCCCA